GAGGCGAUGAAGGACGUGCUAAUCUGCGAUAAGCGCCGGUAAGGUGAUAUGAACCGUUAUAACCGGCGAUUUCCGAAUGGGGAAACCCAGUGUGACUCGUCACACUAUCAUUAACUGAAUCCAUAGGUUAAUGAGGCGAACCGGGGGAACUGAAACAUCUAAGUACCCCGAGGAAAAGAAAUCAACCGAGAUUCCCCCAGUAGCGGCGAGCGAACGGGGAGGAGCCCAGAGCCUGAAUCAGCAUGUGUGUUAGUGGAAGCGUCUGGAAAGGCGCGCGAUACAGGGUGACAGCCCCGUACACAAAAGCGCAUGUGCUGUGAGCUCGAUGAGUAGGGCGGGACACGUGGUAUCCUGUCUGAAUAUGGGGGGACCAUCCUCCAAGGCUAAAUACUCCUGACUGACCGAUAGUGAACCAGUACCGUGAGGGAAAGGCGAAAAGAACCCCGGCGAGGGGAGUGAAAAAGAACCUGAAACCGU
This 477-nucleotide ribosomal RNA is filed under the name Salmonella enterica subsp. enterica serovar Heidelberg. RNAcentral's name for it is "partial 23S ribosomal RNA". It matches the Rfam family "Bacterial large subunit ribosomal RNA", at positions 43 to 559 of the family's 2925-position model. Lineage: Bacteria; Pseudomonadati; Pseudomonadota; Gammaproteobacteria; Enterobacterales; Enterobacteriaceae. RNAcentral also lists the same sequence under 2 other names. The record is from RNAcentral.